UUUUGUCUAAUUUCAGGGACGACACGAAAGAAAUCUUUCGAUGAAUUUACGAAUUUUAACAUAUGUGCGAUGUAAAUCUAAAUCUAAAAGUACAUCCUUUUGGAAAAUAAAGGGAGAAUUUUCGUGGAGGAUUUUUUUCAACAUGGUGGAAAAUAAUCGAGACGCUUAAGUGCAGAGUGCACGCUUUCUUGGGGAAGAAUGAUGAAAGAGAAAUUCAACUUGUUCGCACGAGUAACUGUUAUCUAACUUUUAUUUGAGUUAUUAGCUUCGUCGAGGGAAACUUUGAACAUAUUCCCCCACGAUAAACGUGGAACAAGAUCCAUUCAAAAUACGUUCAACGAUUGUUACUCGUGUUCAAUGAUGUUCCUCCGACACGACAAUCAUCCACGAAUAUAUCCACGAAUUAUAGGAAUUCGACCUAUUUGAAGGAAUAUCAACGCUCUAAUUGGGAAAUCCUUUUUCCUAAUUGGGAAAUCCAACUGUCGCGAGGAUCCAUCACCUGGUCGAGCAGGAAGGAGCAAUCCUCGUGUGACAAUCCCCGUUUCCGGCCAGUCAUCCGGAAGUUUUAGAGGAGGGGAGGAAGGGGUUGUUUGUCCAAACCGCCGGAAUUCGAGCUGUAAAUAUAGUUUGGGAGGGAGUGACGAGGGCGCGAACGAGGGAGAAAUUCGAUUUUGCCUCGCGGAAUCUGCGGUCGGCAGAGGUGUUCCGCAGGAACGUAACGACGACAAAGCGUGGAAACCACGCGUGCCAUCUCGGCAAUCCGGCUGUCCUAACUAGGAGGCCGAUAAAUGGACGGCUUGAUGACUUGAUAAUUUAUGGGGAGGAGACGGUGAGAGGAGGUUGGUUUAAUUAAUCUUUCUGAAGGGGUUGUAAGUAAUUGAACGAGUUAAGUUUUAAGAUAUUUUUGGAAAUAUUUUUUUAUUGGAAAUUACGUUGUAGCCUCGUAUUAUAGUUUCGUAUGAGAAAUUCCUGUUGUUAAUCGAUCGAUAUUUGGAUUAUCGAUUUAUUAUUAAAAGAAAGAUUUAAUAUUCGAGAGUGAGAUAUUACAGUAAAAUUUCAUGGAAAGGAUUUGGAAGAGUUGUAUCGAACGAGUUAAGUUUUAAGAUAUUUUUGGAAAUAUUUUUUUAUUGGAAAUUACGUUGUAGUCUCGUUUCUUGUAUGGGAUCUGGUUGUUAAUCGAACAAUAGUUGGAUUAUCGAUUAAUUAUUAAAAGAAAGAUUUAAUAUUCGUUUGAUAUUCGAGAGUGAGAUAUUACAGUAAAAUUUCAUGGAAAGGAUUUGGAAGAGUUGUAUAAUAAUUUUUCUAAACUAAUUCGUAAGGAAAUCAGUCAGGAUCCAAGGAUCUUUAAACUUGUUAAGCCGCAGUCGUACGUAUUCUACCGAAAAUAUUCCAUUAGAAAGAAACUUUCACGGGCACUUUAAUUUUGAAGGAAACUCGAGAGAAACAUGUGCUAGUCGUGCGCCUGAGGAUAUAUAAAUGAAGAGAAACAAUUUUUCAGAAGAAUUAUUAGAAUAGAGGUGGAAAGAUUGUUUAAAAGUUUAAUAGAAACAUAUAUUUUUUUUCAGUGUGAUUGAAGAACGAAGAAAUAUAAUAAAAAUUUCAAAACAGAAAAUGACAAUUAGAUUGUACGAAUGAAGAGUGGAAAAUAAUUUCGUAGCUUUAUGAAAACUUUACUAAAAGAAGAAAAAAAAAAGAGGAGGAGGAAAUAUGCAUGCGGUAUAAAAUAUUCAAAUAAAGAAAACAGUGGAAGAGUGAAGGAUACUCUUAUUUUUAAUUGUAAUUGUAUAAAAAAAAAAUGAAGAAAGUUUUUUUUCAGAACAAGAUGGAAUUAAAAAUUCCCUUAUAACUCUAUCCAAACAAAAGAAAGGUACAUCAAGUAUCGAAUACCCAAAAUGAAGAAACCUUCGCAAUGGAAUUCUAAAGAUAUAUCCACAAUUUGCGAAAAAGUAUCAAGAAUCAAUAAAUAAAUCGAGAAAUAGAUCCAAAAGAAAAAAAUUGAACCUGUCUUCAAAACUUCAAAAUUCCAAUAGAUUAUAAAAAUUCAAUUUUCAACCCCCCAUCUAAAAGCAAAACUAACUUCAACCUCAAAAAGAGGAAAAGAAAAAGAAACAAAAUUAAAUGGAGAAAGAAAAAUUCCUCUAAAAAAAGAAGAAGAAGAAGAAGAAGAAGAAGAAUCUCAAAAGAGGCAUGAAAAUUCGAUUUCUAAACAACGGAACGCAAUCAAGGCGUUCCAGUUUAUCCAUUAUUGCCAACAGAGAAAUACACUCGUCCCCUAUGUCGAGUUAUCUCUUAACAAAUUCUUUGCCCCCGCCUCGAGAUAUCCUUUUUUUAUUUUGCCUUUUCAUCCAUCGUUCACGCAUUGUUUCCACCAUCAUCGCCAGAUACCCGAUCGCGUAAUCAGCGCGUCGAACCCCGUACAAUAAGACAAUGCAAUCCUCCUCUCUCUCUCUCUCUCUCUCCUCUUCCUCUUUAUCCUCUUUCCAUGCUUUUUCUUUUCUUUUUCUCUUCCUCUAUUUUUUUAUCGAGAGGAGAAAAAAAGGCUCACGUUCCACGAAUUAAGUUACGUUUCGAUUUAAUCAUCGGGAUUGAAGUUUCCUUCGAAGAAAGAUCGAUUCGAAUCUUUCGUAUUUUUCGCGCCAAAUUGGACAUGGAUAUAUUAUUGUGAACAAUUUCUUUUAUCUUUUUUUUUUUUUAUUUGGAUCGUCAUGGAGAAUCGUCCAAGAAAACGGAGGACUUUUAUCGAGUUUCGAGGGCCUUCGAUUGAACGAACCGACGAUGGCCUAUUUUUAUUUCCGCAAUUUCGGCGCUUUGGGGUGAGAGGUGUGUCAUGUUGGUCAAGUGUGACUUAUUUCUUUCUCUGUGUAUGUGUAUACAUAUAUAUUUUUUUUCAAGAGAAGGAAAGAGAGAGAGAAAUUGAGCGAAUUUUCGAUGAUCGAGACUCGGAGGAAUUUGUGUUGCAACAUGGACAAACAUUCGGCAAACUGAAGUUGUAAGGAAAGUUUACAGAAAAGGAUUUUCAAUUUCAUUUAGGAGGAUAAAUAUUUCUCUACUUAACAGAGAAUUUCAUGUAAGAUUUUCGAAGGAGGAACGCUUGAUAUUUGCACGAGAUAUAAACGAGAUGAAAAGACUCUUAACUUUAUUCUUAUAAUCAAACCAAGCUGAAUUUGUCUCGAUCCACGAUGUGAAUAACAAAUCAAGCUUUAUAAACAUUAAAACAAGAAGUGGAAAAAGAAAAAAAGUUAAUGGAUCUGUUAAAUUUAUCUCGAUCCAUCCACGUGAUCGCGAGUUCCAUCAAUUUAUCGAGCCUAACCCCGCUUGUCAUCGCCAUUACCAAUUCCCCUCCCUCCCCCCUUUUCCUCAAUCACUUCCUCCAACGAACCCAUUAACCACGCCUCCCAACCCAAAUUCCCAUUAUUCAAUUCAACGCGAGUGAAAUUACUUUCCAUCCAUUGUUUCACCUCCCAAAAUAUUCACUUCGUUUCCCUCCCUUCCCUCCUCUUCACGAAACUAUCGAAUUUCGCGGGAAAUUCGAACGAGAAGCUCGCCGCUCAAACAUGGAAACGCUUUUUCGAAUACAUCGACGAGAUUAUAAACUCGAGCACCUUCGAAUGACCACAGACACAUUUUGAAUGAACAGCCAUUAAGGGGAAAUUGAACCUCUUCUCGGUAAACAGGAGUGUAAUAAUUAUUUUUAAAGGAAACUAGAUGAAUGCCGUGCCGAGUUUUCUGGUCGAAGAAUUAAUCCUCCAUUAGGAGGGAGGGAUUUGUGGAUUUCUGUGGCGUAAUUUCUUCGUUGCAGCAAGGAGUAAAGCGCAAGUGGAAAUUUUCGUUCUUGGAAUUGAAGGGAUUUUAAUAAUAAAAAUUGGUAAUGGGAUAAAAAAAAUUCAGAGAGAUAUGUAAAUAAAGUGUUGUUGGUCAAGUAAGACGAGUAACAUGAUAAAUAGUCGUAUUGAGAGUAGAAAUGGAGGAGGAUGGAUAAGUAGAAGAAGGGGAGAAUUGGCAAAUAGAAUAAAAUAAUCAUGAGUCAAGUGGAGGCAAUUUGUCAAACAAGCUAAAGAAAAGAUGGUUGAAAAGAUAGAAAAAAAAGAAUAAAUAAACGGCACUGUUAAUUGCAAUGGAAUUGAUAUGUUGAAUUAGAUUAGAAGAGUUUCGAAAAACUUUUGUCGUAUAGAUAUUUGUUAUAAUAUAGAAAAUCUUUUAAUUAAUCGAAUGGUGAAGUUUUUUGGAAUGAAAGAGGUUCUAAAAAGUGUGUAGCUUCGACGAUUAUUCAAUUAUGUUUCUUCACACUGCUACGAUUUAUGGGAAGAAUAUAGGCAAGAAGAUUGUGAAAUCGAGCAAUCGAGAUGUUCAAGGAUGGUUGACGACCUUGACGUUGCAUUAUUUCAAAGAAUAGAAAUUUAUUCUUAGAGAACUGACGUAGAAUCGACGAUAUUUACUCCACAACCUUUGGAUUCGUGAACAAAAUAUUUUUUAACACAAUCUUCUCCUCGAAUUCAAUUUCGAUUAUAAAUUUCCUAAACGAUCGUGAAUAUUAUAUAAAGUCCAUCCAUUUACAAAAAAAAGAGUAAGAAAAAUUCACAGAACGAAAGAAUGAUAAUUCAUUUCUGUUAAACCACAAGCAACCCUUCAAAAAAUCUACAAAAAUACAAAAUUCACGUGACAAGAAAAUAAUAAAAAUUUUCCCGAUGAUUCGACCACGAGUAAUCUUCAAAAAACUACCAUAAAAUUACAAUCUCCACUCAUCGCAAUAAUCAAAAUAUUCGAUCGAAAAACCAGAGAAGAAGAACAUAAAAAUGGAAACACUCGCUCUGACAAAUCAGACAAAAUCCACUUGCCAAUUUCAAGGCUCAAUCACAAUAAUUUUUCCACAUACUUAGCAACAGUUAAACGUCUUUAGACGUCUUAGACUAAGGUGGACGGAAAAUCCACGCGAGACGAUCUCGUAAUUAAGGGGUUGAACGGUAUUAAAAUCGGCGAAAAGGGGUUGUACAUAGAGCGAGAGCCUUUAGAAAUUUCUCUCGAUCCUCUCGGAUCCUUCUCUCCUCGACAAGUUUGGCCGCUCGUUACUCGAGCCGAGCCAUUAACCUUUGAAAAGAAAUCCUCCUCGGUCUUUUCUUCCCUCCCCCGUACUUCCGGAUAAUCCUCUCCUUUCGAGGGGUCUCCCCCGAAAAUUUGAAAGUCGACGACCCGUUUUAGAUUUUCUUCUCCAUUUUUUUUUUUUCUUUCGCUCCAUUUCGAUCUUGAUUCUGUUUGGUCGGACGAGAUGGAGUGGAACUAUUUUGCAGAAACGGUUCUCGAAUAAUUGUGGUUGAAGGGUAAGAAGAUUUGGCGGAGAGAUUCUGGUACGGUGGGCUGUGUUUUACGAGACGGUUUAACGAGUGGGGAGAAACCGUUUAACUCGUCGCGUUUGGCGGUGUGUAUCGUUUAAUUGUAAAUUGUGGGCAACUCUAUUGGGAGAUAAAUGAAGUUCAAAUGGAACGCUGAUGGCGCUAAUGAACGUGUACUAGGUUUCUGGGAUUUCGAAUUCUGUUGUUGAUUAUAACACUUCUUUUUUAUCAAAAAAUAUUGUUGGAUAUACUUACGACGUUCACAAUUCGUUCACGAUAAUACGUAUAUCGUUAAUCAGAAUAUUAUAACUUUUUAAACACAAAAGAAUUCAACCAAGAAGAUGAAAAAUCAAAAAGAUAAAAAUUAAACACAAUCCACCCUUACCUCCCCCCCAAAAAAAAGAAUCUCAAAUAAUCACCUUCACCUAAUUAUUCCAUCCCUGUCUCACCCCGCAGCAUCAUUAAGAAUGCAAACCCGGCACGGAAUCUCGGGAACAUCAGCAGCGUGAAAUCGCAGCCUCCCCCUCCUCCCCCUCUUAAUGGGACGAUGCGACGUCCCGGAAGCGCGAAAAGGCGCGGGAGACAAAGACUCCCCUCUCGAAAGGAGGGCGAAAGAAAGAGGAGGAAGAAAAGCAACCCCUCCUCCUCCUCCUCCUUUUCCUCCUCCUUCCCUCUCUCCCUUCGUUUUUUCAUUCGCCAACUUCUCGAGGUGGCGAGAAAGAAACGAGCAAAGUAUCCUCCGCUUAACGCAGAGUCAACUCGCCGCGGUUUCUUAACGAGAAAGGAGGGGUCGAAUGGAGGAGGAGAGAUAGAAAGAGAGAGAGAGAGAAAAGGCGCGGAGGAUGGAGAGAGAGAGAGAGAGAGAGAGACGGGGAGGAAGUUGGCCGAGAGACAGACGGCCUAUUCAUCGAGCAGCUGCACCCCGGCCCGCGUUUCGCGAUAUUAAAGGGCGCCACGGGUCGACCUGUAUCGGCGCCCGUCGCGACGUCGGCGUCGUGGAUAUACGCGCCGUAAACCUGGCAUGUACACGGUGUCCGCGAAAUAAAUCCCCCGCAAUUCUUUCGUUUAAACGGAAAUUCAUCGCGAUAUCCGCCGAGUCGGAUGGAAGGAAUGGGAGGGUUGAAACCCCCUCGAGUAAACUUGGAUUAAUGUCAAUAAUAUUUUAUGUUUAUUCCGUGAUUGUUUCUAAUUCUAACGCGUUCUGAUUUUAUAAUUGAUUCUUUUUUUUUUAGAGUGGUUGUGUAAAGGAUUUUACGUUAUUUUAUCGAUUGGAUGGUUAAUUUAUUAUGUACCGUUCGUAUUGUGAUUUUUUAUUUAUAUGGAAAUGGAUUCGAAUCUUUUAUAUUGAAGAGGAUAUUUUUUUGAGUAUGUUUAAAUCUUGAUGGAAUAGAAAUUUUCGUGAAUUCUUCUUAAUUAUUCUUUUUGUUAUUCUAUAUCUAUCUUAUAUUCCCUGGAGCAUUCUUCAUAAUCAGUAAAAAAAAAAGACAGGAAAACAAGACAUCAGAGGGUUAAGACUGUAGAUUUGCUCGCAUGGCGACCAUUAUAAGAGGAGAAAUUAAAAUUAGUAAAAAAAAGAGGAAAACGAGACAUCGAAACGUUAAGACUGUAGAUUUGCUCGCAUGGCAUCGACCAUUACAAGAGGAGAAAUUCUUAAGAGGAAUAUAAAAUGAAAAUAUAGAGACAUUCGUAAAAAGAAACAAAUGUGAUUGAUAGAGCAUCGAGGGGGUGAAAUUGAAGAAGAAAAGGAAUGUAAAGGAAAUAUAUAUCAUGAUGAAUCAAAGGAUUCAAAGGUUUCGUCAAUUUUAUCAUUGAUCGUAUUUAUAGUUAAUUUAUCAGACGAUCGAUAGUGAUGGGUUUAAACUGCGCAAAAUUACUGUGGAAUUUUCUCGAAUACAUUCGAAUAACGAGAUACGGAAAUUUGCAAUUUAAUUGCAAAUUUAAUGUAUUUACAGUUAAUUUAUAAUGACAGGAAGUUUGGUAUUUGACUAUUUGCAUAAAUUCCACGAAUCCAAUCCCGCUGGCGUGGAAACGUUCGUUGUGGAAAUGAUCGUUUACGAUCGAGAUUUACAAUCGUUCGAAAACUUUUUCCUUAAUUUGCAACACCAGUAAACCUUUGUACAAGAAAUAUCAUUGAUGCUGUAUAAUCGUUGCGAAAUUAAUAUUCGAUUCAUCGGAAAAUUGUUCUCGAAAGGAUUUCGAGUUUCUGUAAUUUUGGUGAUUGAACGUUUGAUGCAUGGAAUGGUUAUUGGAGGUGAUGAGUUUUUUGACAUGGGAUAAAUUCAUUGCAAGUUUCGUUUUAUAAAUUGUACGCUACAAGUAUAUUGGCGUUGAAGAGAAAUAUUGAAAAUUCGGUAUCGACAUUGUUUGAUCGUUGUAAAAUUUAUACAUUAUUUUAUGCUUCUGGAAAACAAUAUUCAAAAUUAAAAAAAAAAAAAAGAAUAUAUAUAUAUAUUUGUAAUUUUAACGAUUGAAAAAUGGUUGAUUAGUUUCGAGCAGAUAUAUAUUUUUAUAGAAUUUCUAUGAAUAUGUUGUAUACGUAUUGCUAAUAAUAAGGUAUUGUAAAGGAAGUAUUGGAAGGAUCUGUUGGCAAAGCAGUUAUAUGAAACAGCCAUACCAAUUGAAUAUACAUGCAUAUAUGUAAAAAUGGUGUUAAAGCUAUCAUCUGACUAUUUUUUCCUUUUUUCAUGGACACCUUUGAAAAUAAAGAAAGGAAGAAAAUGUGUUUUCACAAUGGAAAAGUAUCGACCAAAUUUCCCUGACGAAAAAUAUUCCAAGCUUUUAAUUAUUUAACGUAACGAGAUGGAAGUGAAUUAAAAACUCUUUAAAAACAAAAAUACUGUGGAGAGUGAAAAAAGUAAAAAUAAUUAAAUAAAUAGAAAAAGUUAAUGGAAGAGGAACUUUUUAAUAUUAAAUUAGAAAUGUGAACGAGCUAAUUGUUUAGAAUUAGCGAAUAAAUAAUUUUUCAUUCGCAAAAUUCUGCGUCAAACUUAACAAAUUCUUGACAGAUAUUCCGCCAAGAAAUUGCAUGAAAAUAUAAUUUCGCCGGUUUCGCGGCACUGAGUCUGACUACAAACGAUUCAUUUCCCUUUACAGUGGUUAGAGUCGGUUACUUGCACGUAUUCUGCACUCUGUCUCCUCUAAAAUACCUACGUACGUUAUUCCGAGAAUCGUCAUUGAAUCAGAGAGUUUAUAAAAUUUCAUAUAAACAUCGUGCGCGAGUUUCAACGUUGCGCGAACAUUUGCUGGCAUAAAAACGAUUUUCUUUUUUUUUUCGCAUCGCGAAAACAAAAACUUUUUUCAGUGGGGAAAAUUUUGAAAGUAGAAAGAACAAUCGAUUGGGGAAUGAAAUGAAACGAAAGAAAGGAUAAAUUGAAACAGUUGAAUUUUUUUUUUAAAUUUAACCAUCAGAAUUACAACUAAUUUAAACAAAAGUUAAGAAAAGAAUUAAAUAAACAAUUUUGAAGAAAUUUAGAAAUAUUCUGUUCUGAGGAAUAAAAUAAAUGAUUUUAGAAAAAUCAGAUCAAAUAUUUUAAUGAGAAGUAAUAAUAAAAGACGAGCUUUCUUACUUUUGCUCGAGUAAAUAUUCCUACAUCGAGUAUGAAAUUUGCUUUUUCGAUAGAAAAUCGUAUUUUGGAAUAAAAACCAGGCCGAAAAUCAACAAUAGAACAUCGUCGAAAAUGGAAUGAAAAAUUCCAUUCGAUAUUUGCUCGAGAACGAAACUCGAGUCAAUGGAACAAAUAAUGGUCAAGGGAAAAAAAGUUAUAAUCGAUUAGCGAGAAGUCGAAGAUGAAGGACGAGCGACAAAGUUAAUUAAUGUGAGAGCUUUGAUCUUUAAGGGAAAAAAAAAUGGUUUAAUUUAAAUUCGAAUCCUUUAACGUGUAUCUUUUUCUCGUUAAAAUUCAUCAAAUCGAAAUCUCUAUAACAAAUGGCAACAAAUUUCUGAAUAUCAGAUUGGAAAUACUUGAAAUAAUAAUUGAUGUGUUUUAAUAAUUGUAUAAAUUUAUUUUGAUAUUUAAAAAAUUUGUUGGAAGAAAGUUAUAAGAUGAUUAAAUAAAUCAUUUGUUAGUUAGGCAUUUGUCCUCGAACAUUAAAAAGUUUCGACAUUACCAGCUUCUAAACUUGAAUCGUGGAUGGGAGAAGUUAAAGAGGAUUGAUAAAAUUUACGACACGUUUGUCAGGGAACUUAGCUUUUUGACGUAAGACAGAAAUAUCCAAGUUAAGCCUCGAGGCUUAAGAAGCUUCCUCCACUCCAUCAGGAUUAUGCAGGGGAGAGCGUCAAAAUGAUGAUAUAAAAGUUGAUCGAAUUUGUGAAUUGAAACACAUCCUCUCUUCUAAAUUUUCUUUGACACAAUAAUCUUAAUAUUAUAAUAGUAUCGGCGAAUUUAACCUCGAAUAAACCUUCCAUCUUUAUUUUUCUCUCUUUUCAAAAAAGAAUAACACUUUCGGAUUAAAGUUUUUUUUUUCGAACAAACUCAUAAUUUUAACAUCUCUCUUGUUGAACAUAACCUCAAAUGAACUUUAAAACUUCUGAUCCCUCUUUAUUUUUUUUCCUCCCCCCUCCAUUUAUUCUCAUGUCGAAAUUCUCUUAGCAAACCAAGCUCGAAACCACGAUUCAAAACGUCUCAACACCCUCGAAAUAUAACCUCGAAUAAAUCUUCCUGAGAUUAAACUUCUCAACGCAAGCCCGGUAUACAUCAUCAUUUUUCUCCCGUUAGUUUACAACAUCUCGUCCACGAGAAUGCAUGAAUAUUCAAAAGACGAGCACGUGGACACGUAUCUAUAAUAUAAUACAAAUAACUGGACGUCCCCUAAUGUUACACCGUAUUACGUAUCUACGUAUGCAUAAUAUGGUGCAGCCAUGAAACGGCGGCGCCAUUGUCUCUGCCGGGAUAAUGGGGCGGCCAUUGAGCGCGGGAUAAAUAAAUAAAUCCCUUGGCAAACGCACAUUUCACGAAUUCAUUAACUCGCAACGGUGAUGGUCGUUCGACCGUGCGAGAACAAAAGCGUGAAAAGGCGUGCAAACGCGAUAAGUCGCGUGUUCUCGACUAUCGUGAUCAAUGGCCCUUCCUCCCAUCCAAUUGGCGAAUGUCGUUGAUUCUUCCAUGAGAAUCGUUCCAUCCGAGAAUGGAAUAAAAUUCCAGAGAUAUCUCCUGUGCAUAUGCACUGAUAACGUUUAUUAUUCCGCGUUUGUUAAUCGAAAGAUUUCUCCUUUUCAAAUUGGAAAUUGAAGAAGUGUAUAUUAUUUAUUCUAAAUCUUUAUUUCAAUUAUUAUUUGUCGAUAAGAAUUCUUGAUUUAUUAUCGAUUCUGAUUCAAUUUUAUCUAUUUUGUUCUAAAGUUGAAUUAAGAAAAUUUGAGAUGAUAUCUCGCUCGUCGUUUAACGCCAGAAUUUGUGUGGUUUCUCAAUUAGAACUGGAGGAAUGUUGCACGCGAAUCUUGCAGAUGAAUAUUGUAGUCGAUGUAUUGUUUCUGAAACCAUUCUGGUUGCGUCAUUAAAAUUACGUGAAAUUUAUUACAACGCAAAAUCAAGAUUCUUCCAUCGAAAAGACGAAACUCUCGAAGAAGAAUUAAUUCAGUUAUGAAAUUUUAAAAAUUUCAAGAAAAACAAUUAUCGAUAUUUCCUCCGAAUAUUUAGCAUUUGAAUAAACAUCGAUGAUUUUAUUUUCAUCACGAAAACGAAAUUGCACGGAUACAAUAAUUUUAAUUUCGUUCCGUGUGAUCGAACCGCGUUUAUUCCUAUUGUUUUAUCGCGUUCAUGAAUUAUCGAUGGCCCAAUGAAAUUCGAUCUUUGUAUCCCGAUAUUUAUUUAUCAUUAUUAUCAGUUAUUUAUGAUUAUCGUUGCGCGUUUGUUAUUUCGAAGCCGUCUAUUAAUAAUUAAUUUGCGUACAGAAUAUUAGCAUACAUAAUUGAAUGGGAGCGUGAACGAAAUGGAAGUGGAAAAAAAAAAAAAUAGUACGAAGAAGAAAAUUUCUUUCUGGAAUAUCGUAAUUCCCCGUUUGGCAGAGUAACGAUGAUAUUAUUGCGACCGAUUCUUCUAUUUUCUAGGCGAGGAUAUAAUGCUUCCUGGCCGAAGUUCGGGAGAAUAUCACCGAGAUGAAGCUUGUUUAAGGAGAUAAUACUUUUAUAGAGUGAAUUCUUUUCCUCUUCGCGAGGAUGUACGAGAUAAUUCCCGAAAGAGGGUCGAUAUUGUAAUACUUUGUGUAACAUUAUUUUUGCAAAAGAGAUUUUAUUGCUCGUUUCGAAAGGAAUACAUUUAUUUUUUUUUAACUAUUUUGAUUAUUUUUGUAUAAUUAUAUAUAUAAAUUUUCUUUGGAAAGAAUUUAAUAAAAAAGAGAUUGGAUGAGUGAAGAUAAUGGAAUGAAGAUAAUUCGAUAAUUAAUUUUUUCUUGAAGUGUAUCAUCGAUAAUGGGUAAUUUUAUCGAUAUGCAAAAUGCAAGAACUUUCAUUUUGAGGAAUAACGAUAAUGGGGUGGUUAUUCAAUUUGACUGCAUUAUCUACUUCUACUAUCUUUUAACAGUUUUCCAUCAAGAAUUUUCAAAGAUUAUUAUAUUUCCCAUACUUUCAAUUAUUAUUUCCAUGUUUUAUUAUUAUUUUUUUCUUCCCUUAUUUUACGGCAUCAUCCUUAUUUCACAAUUUAACAUUUAACAGGAUUAAAUCUAAUUUAUUCAACGCAUCGAAAAUUCACUCUAAAGAGUAAGCUCGAAAAAAGUUAUCAAAAUAAAGUCCCUAGCCGUUCAAUACUCCCAUCCACGAACGUUCUCCCACGAACUCGAAUCGCGAAUAACACGACUAAAACCGAAUUCCACUGAACUCCAUAAAUCCUUCGUCGAUCUUAAACAACGAUCGAUCGCGAACCUUUCCCAAUCGCUAUUGAUACAAAUG
Long non-coding RNA from Apis mellifera (honey bee), 12207 nucleotides. RefSeq lists it as uncharacterized. The transcript is spliced from 5 exons. The record is from RefSeq and is a predicted model, not a curated record. NCBI's taxonomy places the organism in Eukaryota, Metazoa, Arthropoda, Insecta, Hymenoptera, Apidae.